RNAcentral lists this ribosomal RNA (627 nucleotides) under Triticum aestivum (bread wheat). Its description in RNAcentral is "partial small subunit ribosomal RNA". The record is from RNAcentral. Lineage: Eukaryota; Viridiplantae; Streptophyta; Magnoliopsida; Poales; Poaceae.
AUGGAGCCAGCCGUAAUCACAGCAGCGCCGCCGGCCUCGGCGGCCACGCGGCUCCUCCCCACGUCCAUCGGCGGAGGCGGGGACAGGGGCGGCGGUCGCUCCGAUGGAGGAGGAGGCGGCGGCGGCGGAGGAGGAGGAGACUCUGGUGCCGGCGCUGCAGCGGCGAUGGCGCUCGUCGAGGCCGGGAUGCUGGACGGCAGCGACGUCAUCCUGCUCCACGUCGGGGGUAUGUCGUGCGGCGGAUGCGCCGCCAAAGUGAAGCGGAUUCUCGAGAGCCAGCCUGAGGUUGCUUCUGCCACGAUCGACUUGGCCAAGGCGGCCGCGGUGGUGCGGACAACACCGGAAGCCAUGGCGACCAAGGACUGGCACAAGGAACUUGGGGAGAAGCUUGCAAAUCACCUAAGAAAUUGUGGAUUUGAAUCUCAUAUGCUUGGUACGGGUUUGUGCUUUUCUGUCUUCCAAGUUUCGAUCCAGUUAGAUGAUGCAUGUGGUUUGAGUUCAAUAGGUACAUUUACAUUACCGUACGUGUCAGCACUUGUUUUAUACAGCAAAUGGCCUUCUCUAAUUCUCUUGGAAACUCAAGUGCGCGUGUCUUUCCCAUUUGCAGAUGAAGCCGAACAAAGUUGA